AUUUACUGAUACGGUCAAUUUAUUAGUGUCUAAGGAAAGCAACAGGGGGACUCCCACCGAUCUCCACUUACCUGAUCAAUUUGGAAGAUUAAGUCUUGAAUGGGUUGCUUAACGAUUUGAUUUAGCCUAUGCCAAUUAAAUCACUCAUAUGAUGAUUGAUUAUAUAAGAUCUAAACCUAAACCUUCUCAUAAAUAUUAAGUCCAUAGGUCUUCCACCGUUGUAGAUGUGUGGGCGUGCUAUUGGUGUUGAUUGUCUCGACCGGUUACAGUAGUUCAGUUGCGUCGAAAGCAUGCAACUACUCUAUUUACAAAGAGUUGCUCCAAGAUUAGGAUGGGAGUUGAAUCCAAUAACUGUUAGGUGAGGGACCCAAUGACGGUCGUGCACCUGCUUGUGAAUGGUGGGUCGGGCUUAACUAAGGAGUAUGGUCAAUAAUUGUUAGGUGAGCCCGCAUGACUUAGAGAUCAAGUCACUGCAACAUGCUUAGAGAAGCAUCUAGGCAAAGAGUUAUCCACGCAUCGGUGUGCAUGUUAUCAAUAACUGUUAGGUGAGGUACUUGACAUCGGUGGGACUGCAGUACCCACUAGGAAUCUUUUUGUCGCAUUAAAAUUUUUGUUUUCCAUCCGAGGAGUGGAGGGAUCCGAAAA
This 645-nucleotide long non-coding RNA is filed under the name Elaeis guineensis (African oil palm). RNAcentral's name for it is "long non-coding RNA (EGUI_LNC039805)". The record is from RNAcentral. Lineage: Eukaryota; Viridiplantae; Streptophyta; Magnoliopsida; Arecales; Arecaceae.